This 771-nucleotide ribosomal RNA is filed under the name uncultured Weissella sp. RNAcentral describes it as "bacterial SSU rRNA". It matches the Rfam family "Bacterial small subunit ribosomal RNA", at positions 100 to 851 of the family's 1533-position model. Lineage: Bacteria; Bacillati; Bacillota; Bacilli; Lactobacillales; Lactobacillaceae. The record is from RNAcentral.
GAACGGGUGAGUAACACGUGGGAUAACCUACCUUCUUAGCAGGGGAUCACAUUUGGAAACAGAUGCUUAAUACCGUAUAACAAUGACAAUCCGCAUGGUUGUUAUUUAAAAAGANGGNUACUGCUAUCACUAAGAGAUGGUCCCGCGGUGCAUUAGCUAGUUGGUAAUGUAAUGGCUUACCAAGGCAAUGAUGCAUAGCCGAGUUGAGAGAGUGAUCGGCCACAUUGGGACUGAGACACGGCCCAUACUCCUACGGGAGGCAGCAGUAGGGAAUCUUCCACAAUGGGCGAAAGCCUGAUGGAGCAACGCCGCGUGUGUGAUGAAGGGUUUCGGCUCGUAAAACACUGUUGUAAGAGAAGAAUGACAUUGAGAGUAACUGUUCAAUGUGUGACGGUAUCUUACCAGAAAGGAACGGCUAAAUACGUGCCAGCAGCCGCGGUAAUACGUAUGUUCCAAGCGUUAUCCGGAUUUAUUGGGCGUAAAGCGAGCGCAGACGGUUAUUUAAGUUUGAAGUGAAAGCCCUCAGCUCAACUGAGGAAUUGCUUUGGAAACUGGAUGACUUGAGUGCAGUAGAGGAAAGUGGAACUCCAUGUGUAGCGGUGAAAUGCGUAGAUAUAUGGAAGAACACCAGUGGCGAAGGCGGCUUUCUGGACUGUAACUGACGUUGAGGCUCGAAAGUGUGGGUAGCAAACAGGAUUAGAUACCCUGGUAGUCCACACCGUAAACGAUGAGUGCUAGGUGUUUGAGGGUUUCCGCCCUUAAGUGCCGUAG